RNAcentral lists this ribosomal RNA (857 nucleotides) under Grimmia elatior. Its description in RNAcentral is "eukaryotic LSU rRNA". The stretch from base 412 to 564 matches the Rfam family "5.8S ribosomal RNA". The record is from RNAcentral. Lineage: Eukaryota; Viridiplantae; Streptophyta; Bryopsida; Grimmiales; Grimmiaceae.
UCGUAGGUGACCUGCGGAAGGAUCAUUGCACACACACACAUUUUGCCAACCCCUUUGCGAACUUUACCAUUGUCCCCUUUUUACCCAACCCAAGUCUCUAAACCAAACCCGGCGGGGGCACUCGCUGGGUUUGGAUGGCUGAAUCAAACACGGCGAGGGGCCCCGACCCGUGUUUUGAUUUGGCCUGCAAGAGACUUGGUGUUUUGGGUUUCCAAACAAUUACUAUUGGAUGGCGCAAUGCAUCACUUUCAAAUAUAUGACUGAGACCAUGCCGCCAUCGAGAAUUUCGCGGCGGGGGCACCACCACCACCACUUUCACCCACAGCCACCCACCCGGGACUUUGGGAGUGUGAGUGCGUGGUGCCACCCCCGAGUUCUUCGAGUUGUCAAGUGGUGAUAAAAAACCGAAACAACUCUCAGCAACGGAUAUCUUGGCUCCUGCAACGAUGAAGAACGCAGCGAAAUGCGAUACGUAGUGUGAAUUGCAGAAUUCCGCGAAUCAUCGAGUCUUUGAACGCAAGUUGCGCCCGAGGCUUGUCCUGGGGCAUUUCUGACAGAGCGUCACCGCGACACCCACCGACCCCCCCACUCCUUGCCGCCGGAGUGAGUGGGGGCCGAGUGGAACUGGCCGUCCCAGAGCGCCGCCGCAAGCGGCGGCGACUGGGUUGGCUGAAAUGGAGUUUUGGAACCUUGGCCCCGCCGCGGCGACACAGCCCGCGAUCAGGUGAUCUUGGAACGAGAACUAAGUGUAAAUGGGGGUGUUGGUUGGCUGGCGAGUGUUGGGAUUCCGAAGAAAAGCAGGCAGGCCCCUUUCCAGGAAGGUUCGUCACGCAUCGAGACCUCUGAUUCAGAAAAGA